RNAcentral lists this transfer RNA (70 nucleotides) under Siphoviridae sp. ctM4P7. RNAcentral describes it as "tRNA-Met". It matches the Rfam family "tRNA". From Rfam's summary of the family: Transfer RNA (tRNA) molecules are approximately 80 nucleotides in length. Their secondary structure includes four short double-helical elements and three loops (D, anti-codon, and T loops). Lineage: Duplodnaviria; Heunggongvirae; Uroviricota; Caudoviricetes. The record is from RNAcentral.
UCCCUCUUAGCUCAGUGGUAGAGCAGACGUGCAUUGCGUUGUGUCGAUGGUUCGAUCCCAUCAGAGGGAA